CCCCCAAGUCCUGCAAGCCGCAGGAGUCGGCCGCCAGCCCUGUUGGUUAUGCACCCGUGACUUGAGCACCUAUUCACCAGUCUUUUGCGUACUACUGUCCUGGGGUUCGCCCGCCAUCUAGGACCUACUCAAAACCUUUUUGUAAUAGCAAUAUGCGUCAUGAAAAACCAAUAAUCAAUA
This 180-nucleotide unclassified non-coding RNA is filed under the name soil metagenome. Its description in RNAcentral is "partial internal transcribed spacer 1". The record is from RNAcentral.